RNAcentral lists this ribosomal RNA (489 nucleotides) under uncultured bacterium. RNAcentral describes it as "partial 16S ribosomal RNA". It matches the Rfam family "Bacterial small subunit ribosomal RNA", at positions 899 to 1397 of the family's 1533-position model. The record is from RNAcentral.
ACUCAAAGGAAUUGACGGGGGCCCGCACAAGCGGUGGAGCGUGUGGUUUAAUUCGACGCUAAGCGAAGAACCUUACCAGGGUUUGACAUCCCGGUCGUAGUUCUUGGAAACAAGAACGUCAGUCCGGCUGGACUGGUGACAGGUGCUGCAUGGUCGUCGUCAGCUCGUGUCGUGAGAUGUUGGGUUAAGUCCCGCAACGAGCGCAACCCUUGUCGUGUGUUGGAUUUUUCACGCGAGACUGCCUCGGUUAACGAGGAGGAAGGUGGGGAUGACGUCAGAUCAGCAUGGCCCUUAUACCCUGGGCGACACACGCGCUACAAUGGCGGAUACAAUGGGUUGCAAAACCGCGAGGUGGAGCUAAUCCCAUCAAAGUCCGUCUCAGUUCGGAUUGGAGGCUGCAACUCGCCUCCAUGAAGCCGGAAUCGCUAGUAAUCGCGGAUCAGCCAUGCCGCGGUGAAUACGUUCUCGGGCCUUGUACACACCGCCCGU